GGGAGCUUGCUCCCUGAAGUCAGCGGCGGACGGGUGAGUAACACGUGGGCAACCUGCCUGUAAGACUGGGAUAACUCCGGGAAACCGGGGCUAAUACCGGAUAAUUCUUUUCCUCACAUGAGGGAAAGCUGAAAGAUGGUUUCGGCUAUCACUUACAGAUGGGCCCGCGGCGCAUUAGCUAGUUGGUGAGGUAACGGCUCACCAAGGCCACGAUGCGUAGCCGACCUGAGAGGGUGAUCGGCCACACUGGGACUGAGACACGGCCCAGACUCCUACGGGAGGCAGCAGUAGGGAAUCUUCCGCAAUGGACGAAAGUCUGACGGAGCAACGCCGCGUGAGUGAUGAAGGUUUUCGGAUCGUAAAACUCUGUUGUCAGGGAAGAACAAGUACCGGAGUAACUGCCGGUACCUUGACGGUACCUGACCAGAAAGCCACGGCUAACUACGUGCCAGCAGCCGCGGUAAUACGUAGGUGGCAAGCGUUGUCCGGAAUUAUUGGGCGUAAAGCGCGCGCAGGCGGUUCCUUAAGUCUGAUGUGAAAGCCCCCGGCUCAACCGGGGAGGGUCAUUGGAAACUGGGGAACUUGAGUGCAGAAGAGAAGAGUGGAAUUCCACGUGUAGCGGUGAAAUGCGUAGAGAUGUGGAGGAACACCAGUGGCGAA
Molecule: ribosomal RNA, 660 nt
Filed under: Bacillus sp. JSM 081010
Lineage: Bacteria; Bacillati; Bacillota; Bacilli; Caryophanales; Bacillaceae
Description: bacterial SSU rRNA
Rfam family: Bacterial small subunit ribosomal RNA
Source: RNAcentral